GAUGAACGCUGGCGGCGUGCCUAAUACAUGCAAGUCGAGCGAACGGACGAGAAGCUUGCUUCUCUGAUGUUAGCGGCGGACGGGUGAGUAACACGUGGAUAACCUACCUAUAAGACUGGGAUAACUUCGGGAAACCGGAGCUAAUACCGGAUGAUAUUUUGAACCGCAUGGUUCAAAAGUGAAAGAGGGUCUUGCUGUCACUUAUAGAUGGAUCCGCGCUGCAUUAGCUAGUUGGUAAGGUAACGGCUUACCAAGGCAACGAUGCAUAGCCGACCUGAGAGGGUGAUCGGCCACACUGGAACUGAGACACGGUCCAGACUCCUACGGGAGGCAGCAGUAGGGAAUCUUCCGCAAUGGGCGAAAGCCUGACGGAGCAACGCCGCGUGAGUGAUGAAGGUCUUCGGAUCGUAAAACUCUGUUAUUAGGGAAGAACAUAUGUGUAAGUAACUGUGCACAUCUUGACGGUACCUAAUCAGAAAGCCACGGCUAACUACGUG
This 497-nucleotide ribosomal RNA is filed under the name uncultured bacterium. Its description in RNAcentral is "partial 16S ribosomal RNA". It matches the Rfam family "Bacterial small subunit ribosomal RNA", at positions 28 to 507 of the family's 1533-position model. The record is from RNAcentral.